GUUAAUCAGUUACAAAAUUUCCMUCACAUCCAUCCAUCCUCUCCGUUUUAGCACCAUUCUUGUUUGUUGUUGAUUUACCCCUGGAUCUCAUUUUGUCCUCUCUGCAGGCCGUCACAUUGUUCUUCUACCUGCUGGCCUUCCUGGUUAUCCUCCAGAGGAUCUGGGCUUACGUCGGCUGUUUCAUUUGCACAUAACCACAGCAGGAGAGCCCUCGUCUUCUGUCACACAGCUCAGCUCUUUCUGCUCAAGAUGGAGAAACCUGAAGUUCARCUCUGGGUGGUUCUCCUUCCUCUCGUCCUCCUCUGCCAGCAGAGCAGCUCCUGGCAGACCCAGACCCAGGUUCUGCUUGUCUUGGCUGAGCCCACUCUACCUGGACAAGACAAAGAGAGGAAUGCAGAGGUUUAAAAAAAAAUGCUUCUGAGACAAAAAUACARUAUUUUUUCGUUUCAGCAGGUGAAAUCCUCUCAGCUGACCUGCAAGGUUUGUAGAAACUAUAGCACUAAGACUCUGCUUUUAUUGUGAAAAUGCCUGUCACAUUAGUUCAAGACUUCACAUUCUUUGAAGGAAUGCCUAUGAUCCAUCACCUAUAAGUCAGAGGUUUAGACUAAGAUCAUGUUAUGUUGGGACAUGAUGUUUUUGUGUUGGUCAAACCUAAAUGAUCACAUGCAGCAUUGUGAGACUGUGAAUUAUUCUCAACUAACUUUGAAUUUUAGCUCAUCUGUAAAACCUCCUGUGUUGCAGCCAUUUGUGAGUUUUUUUUCUAAGUUUGUUGACUGUGGUGUCCAUCUUUCAAAAGGAUUCAUAUGAUUUUAUUGUCAGCUCACUGUAUGCACAGGACAUGUUGGAGAACUAAAAUGUCUUUUCUGUCUCCUUCGUAAGAAACAAUAAAAUAUGAUCAAACAACUGUGCCAUAACGUAUCUAACUAUACACAAAAUGUUUGUAACUAUCCCUAAGAAAUAAAAAAUAUACAACAUACUACAAUAA
This is a long non-coding RNA of Austrofundulus limnaeus, 985 nucleotides long. RefSeq lists it as uncharacterized. The record is from RefSeq and is a predicted model, not a curated record. The transcript has 2 exons. NCBI's taxonomy places the organism in Eukaryota, Metazoa, Chordata, Actinopteri, Cyprinodontiformes, Rivulidae.